GCAUUGGUUGCCUUCUUGGUACUGCUCUAACAUAGCAGCUUGCAAAUCAUCUAGACUCACCUAUGUCCUCAAAUGUUGCAAUUAUAUUCUAUCAUUCUGACUUGAUCUAAAGAAACAUUGCCUUUAGACUAUGAGAGUAGUCUUCAUGGUACAUAAAAAGUUUAUUUUUUUCUUCUAAACACUGCAUAAAGGUAGAGAAAUAUUUUACUGUGAAAGUAAACUUUUGGUUUUAAAUAGAGCUUGGUGAAAAUAAGGUUCUUCCGACUCCUACAUAUUCUACUGGCCUGCUCUAUUCAUGAACAUUUUCAAAAUGUGCUGCUCUCAAUUUUUAAUUCAUUGUGCUACAUAUUUAGUCUCUCAUACAAUGGAAUUUAGGAGGGCUGCUUAACUGGAGCCUCAAUAAAAAGUAACUGUAUUCUUAAUUUUUUCUACUUUUCUUCAGUUUAUGUCCUUCACCAAGCUUGUGUGUAUGUGAG
This 476-nucleotide long non-coding RNA is filed under the name Bos taurus (domestic cattle). RNAcentral describes it as "long non-coding RNA NONBTAT023819". Lineage: Eukaryota; Metazoa; Chordata; Mammalia; Artiodactyla; Bovidae. The record is from RNAcentral.